CGGGCCAGAUUCUCGGCAAUCUAUGAGGUCACCUGGAUUCGCAUUGGCACCUUCAGACUGCAGGUAUAGAGAGCUUCAGUGUAUGUCCUUGUCAGAGUAACGGACGCUAUACCAAGUUUGCGACGCACUCACGACUAGCCCUGCUACUACGCAAGCAGUCUCGUAUCGUCAGGUGCGAGUGUAAUCGAAUAGCUGUCUCAGGGUGGCAGAAAGUUAUUAUGCAGCGUUGAAUUCGCCCGGCCUCAACUUCGUAAAUGUUUUAUGAUCCGGAUAGUAUGAGUGAGUCAGAGGGGGGUAAGAAUUUCACCUCUAGCCAGUGACAUGCGUAAGAGAUGUGGAAGAAUAGCCAUCGUCGAAGGCAGCGCGUGUGACAACAUUGAUGUUCAUGUUCGAUAGCCUGGCUAGCAACAUGAUUAGAUGCCCGGUAGUCAGCGCCGCAAUCGACGUCGAUGAGCUUCGGGCAUCUAGACAUUUCAGUAGCGCACAAGGCAUGUGACAUCGACCCUCUUGGGGAGUACGUGUCGCAGGAUUAAAACUCAAAGGAUGGUGACGCGGACAGCGCACAAGCUCUGGAUGAUGUGGAUUAAUUCGAUGCAUCGCGAAGAACCUUACCUGGUCUUGACAUGUACGGAACCUUCCAGAGACGGAAGGGUGCCUUCGGGAGCCGUAACACAGGUGUAGCAUGCCUGUAGUCAGCUAGUGUCGCGAGAUGUCGGUUUAAGUCCUGUAACGAGCGCAACCCUUGUCAUUAGUUGCCAUCAUUUAGUUGGGCACUCUAAUGAGACUGCCGGUGACCAACCGGAGGAAGGUGGGGAUGACGUCAAGUCCUCAUGGCCCUUAUGACCAGGGCUUCACACGUCAUACAAUGGUCGGUACAGAGGGUAGCCAAGCCGCGAGGUGGAGCCAAUCCCAGAAAACCGAUCGUAGUCCGGAUUGCACUCCGCAACUUGAGUGCAUGAAGUCGGAAUCGCUAGUAAUCGCAGGUCAGCAUACUGCGGUGAAUACGUUCCCGGGUUUUGUACACACCGCCCGUCACACCCUGGGAGUGGGGGAUACCAGAAGCAGGUAGGGUAACCGCAAGGAGCCCGCUUGCCACGGUAUGCUUCAUGACUGGGGUGAAGUCGUAACAAGGUAGCCGUAGGGGAACCUGCGGCCGGAUCCCCUCUUUC
This 1169-nucleotide ribosomal RNA is filed under the name uncultured bacterium. RNAcentral describes it as "bacterial SSU rRNA". The stretch from base 176 to 1169 matches the Rfam family "Bacterial small subunit ribosomal RNA". The record is from RNAcentral.